CUGCGCUCCAGUCACCUCUCCUCUCCACCUGUUGCUUCAGCAGACCUACGAAAUAUGAACAGUGUUUGCAUGCUGAAAACAUUAAUCUCUCUGCCGUGAAGCCUGCCUGGCGGUGCCAUCACCUCAGGACUUCACACACAGGAGGUAAUGGAGCAGGCCCCCGGUUGAUGGACUUCUCUUAUCGCCAAUUACGCUUCAAUCAGGGACGCCUCAUCAGCUCCUGCUUUGGUGAGCAAUAGGCCGUCAGCAUGCAGAGGAUGCCCCACAAUCCAAGCUGGGGUCCCUGGCACCAAGGUUAUACAUCCUGGUGUCCCUCGUACUGUAUGGCACAGCUGGAUCCGACGUCAUGGCUGGUCAUCCCACCUUUGACACCAUUUGUACCCAAGAGGAGUAGAGAAGCCCUGCAGGGACUCAAACCCAGACCUUUGGGGGUACCAAACUGGGGCUCUGACCACUACACAAAAGAGCCAGGGUCGUUGGCAUUACAGUUAGAGCGCACCCACAACCCUCGUGACGGCCACUCAAUGACA
Engraulis encrasicolus (European anchovy) is the source of this 530-nucleotide long non-coding RNA. RefSeq lists it as uncharacterized. The record is from RefSeq and is a predicted model, not a curated record. The transcript is spliced from 3 exons. Lineage: Eukaryota; Metazoa; Chordata; Actinopteri; Clupeiformes; Engraulidae.